Molecule: transfer RNA, 72 nt
Filed under: Rhynchoedura ornata (Western beaked gecko)
Lineage: Eukaryota; Metazoa; Chordata; Lepidosauria; Squamata; Diplodactylidae
Description: tRNA-Ile
Source: RNAcentral
GGAAGUGUGCCUGAACCUCCAAGGACUACUUUGAUAGAGUAAACUAUAGGGGUUAAACUCCCCUCACUUCCU